Molecule: ribosomal RNA, 507 nt
Filed under: Amathia cf. gracilis AW-2011
Lineage: Eukaryota; Metazoa; Bryozoa; Gymnolaemata; Ctenostomatida; Vesiculariidae
Description: partial 12S ribosomal RNA
Source: RNAcentral
UGCCAGCANHMGCGGUUAUACAAUUAUCUAAAGUUUAGUACAUAGGUUUGUGGAAUAAUAAGAAAAUUAAAGGGGAAAAAAGAUGUUCGACCAAUCAAAUGGAAAAACAAUUUAAGAAACUUUGAACCCUAAAACAUCAAAACCACGAAACUCGAAUAUAGGACUAGGAUUAGAUACCCUAUUACUACCGAAUGUAAAUCGUCAUAAACCAAGUUAUUACAAGAAUGAGCUAAAAAACUAAAGAGCAUGGCGGCCUUCCAAACCCUCAGGGGAGCUUGCCCUCUAAACGAUAUUCCUCGAUAAAAUUCACCUUUCUUUGAAACACGCAGCCUGUAUACCUCCGUCGUCAGUUAACCUUAAAAAAGAAAAAUAGUUAACAACACCCAUAGAUAAAAGGUUCUUUGGAUAAAGACAGGUCAAGGUGCAGCCUAUAGAAAGGAUAAAGGUUAGCUACAUUAAUUAAUAAUUUAAAACAAAUUUCUUCUUUAGAAGUCUUUGAAACAGUAC